AACCACCUCGGGAGGCAGCAGUGGGGGAUAUUGCACAAUGGGGGAAACCCUGAUGCAGCGACGCCGCGUGGGUGAAGAAGUAUUUCGGUAUGUAAAGCCCUAUCAGCAGGGAAGAAAGAAGACGGUACCUGACUAAGAAGCCCCGGCUAACUACGUGCCAGCAGCCGCGGUAAUACGUAGGGGGCGAGCGUUAUCCGGAUUCACUGGGUGUAAAGGGAGCGUAGACGGCCGUGCAAGCCAGGAGUGAAAGCCCGGGGCCCAACCCCGGGACUGCUCUUGGAACUGGGCGGUUAGAGUGCGGGAGG
This 305-nucleotide ribosomal RNA is filed under the name uncultured bacterium. Its description in RNAcentral is "bacterial SSU rRNA". It matches the Rfam family "Bacterial small subunit ribosomal RNA", at positions 334 to 655 of the family's 1533-position model. The record is from RNAcentral.